CGCUCUCUGAGUGGCGGAAUGGAGGAAAUGAUGGUGCCGGUGCCUGAGAUGGGGGACAGCAUCACGGAAGGGUCCAUCCUGGAGUGGACGGUCGGGGUGGGGGA
Molecule: non-coding RNA, 104 nt
Filed under: uncultured eukaryote
Lineage: Eukaryota
Source: RNAcentral